CAGUCGCCGCGGUAAUACGGAGGGGGCUAGCGUUGUUCGGAAUUACUGGGCGUAAAGCGCACGUAGGCGGCUUGGUAAGUUAGAGGUGAAAGCCCAGGGCUCAACCCUGGAAUUGCCUUUAAGACUGCCGAGCUAGUAGGUGAGAGAGGUAAGUGGAAUUCCGAGUGUAGAGGUGAAAUUCGUAGAUAUUCGGAAGAACACCAGUGGCGAAGGCGGCUUACUGGCUCAUUCUAGACGCUGAGGUGCGAAAGCGUGGGGAGCAAACAGGAUUAGAUACCCGAGUAGUCCCUGUCUCUUAUAC
Molecule: ribosomal RNA, 301 nt
Filed under: uncultured bacterium
Lineage: Bacteria
Description: partial 16S ribosomal RNA
Rfam family: Bacterial small subunit ribosomal RNA
Source: RNAcentral